Mauremys reevesii (Reeves's turtle) is the source of this 416-nucleotide long non-coding RNA. RefSeq lists it as uncharacterized. The record is from RefSeq and is a predicted model, not a curated record. The transcript has 3 exons. Lineage: Eukaryota; Metazoa; Chordata; Testudines; Geoemydidae.
UGCCUGCUUUGUCAGUGGCCUCUCUGCCUCUCACUGUUCCUCUGGCUGGUUCACAGUAGAGAAGAAACUGCCAAGAGGAGAAGCAGGAGGAAGCUGAUCACAUUGGGAAAGAGCUAGCUUGCCCUACAGUCAGCCUGCACCAGAUCCAGGAUUGUGGAUCCAGAAGCCUGACCUGCUUGUAUCUGAACCCACAAGUUCCAAGCUUUAAAGACUGUCAGCACCCAGAGAGGACCUGCUGGCCUGCACCAGUCUCUUGACCACUCAGCCAGAAGAGGAACAUGAUUUCACAGGCCCACCUACCCUUCCUGAUUCUGAUGUCCAAGUAGUAGUGGAAGCAAUGAAACACUGGAGAAACUUUUAUGUCCUGAGAUUUCCAUCCCAAUAUUGUAGACAUGCGAGGUUGUGAGUAAUUUCUG